Molecule: ribosomal RNA, 446 nt
Filed under: uncultured bacterium
Lineage: Bacteria
Description: bacterial SSU rRNA
Rfam family: Bacterial small subunit ribosomal RNA
Source: RNAcentral
UCCAGACUCCUACGGGAGGCAGCAGUGGGGAAUAUUGGGCAAUGGGCGCAAGCCUGACCCAGCAACGCCGCGUGAAGGAAGAAGGCUUUCGGGUUGUAAACUUCUUUUAAGAGGGAAGAGCAGAAGACGGUACCUCUUGAAUAAGCCACGGCUAACUACGUGCCAGCAGCCGCGGUAAUACGGAGGAUGCGAGCGUUAUCCGGAUUUAUUGGGUUUAAAGGGUGCGUAGGCGGGCUUUUAAGUCAGCGGUAAAAAUUCGGGGCUCAACCCCGUCCGGCCGUUGAAACUGGGGGCCUUGAGUGGGCGAGAAGAAGGCGGAAUGCGUGGUGUAGCGGUGAAAUGCAUAGAUAUCACGCAGAACCCCGAUUGCGAAGGCAGCCUUCCGGCGCCCUACUGACGCUGAGGCACGAAAGUGCGGGGAUCGAACAGGAUUAGAUACCCCUGUA